UACGUAGGGGGCAAGCGUUGUCCGGAAUCAUUGGGCGUAAAGCGCGCGUAGGCGGCCCUGUAAGUCCGUUGUGAAAGUCAAAGGCUCAACCUUUGAAAGCCGAUGGAUACUGCAGGGCUAGGGUCCGGAAGAGGCGAGUGGAAUUCCUGGUGUAGCGGUGGAAUGCGCAGAUAUCAGGAGGAACACCAAUAGCGAAGGCAGCUCGCUGGGACGGUACUGACGCUAAGGCGCGAAAGCGUGGGGAGCGAACAGG
RNAcentral lists this ribosomal RNA (253 nucleotides) under uncultured bacterium. RNAcentral's name for it is "partial 16S ribosomal RNA". It matches the Rfam family "Bacterial small subunit ribosomal RNA", at positions 524 to 776 of the family's 1533-position model. The record is from RNAcentral.